This 578-nucleotide ribosomal RNA is filed under the name uncultured bacterium. RNAcentral describes it as "bacterial SSU rRNA". It matches the Rfam family "Bacterial small subunit ribosomal RNA", at positions 102 to 676 of the family's 1533-position model. The record is from RNAcentral.
ACGGGUGAGUAACGCGUAGGAAUAUGCCUUAAAGACUGGGACAACUUGGGGAAACUCAAGCUAAUACCGGAUAAUGUCUGCGGACGAAAGCUGGGGACCUUCGGGCCUGGCGCUUUGAGAUUAGCCUGCGUCCGAUUAGCUAGUUGGUAGGGUAAGGGCCUACCAAGGCGACGAUCGGUAGCUGGUCUGAGAGGAUGGCCAGCCACACUGGAACUGAGACACGGUCCAGACUCCUACGGGAGGCAGCAGUGGGGAAUAUUGGACAAUGGGGGCAACCCUGAUCCAGCAAUGCCGCGUGUGUGAAGAAGGCCUGAGGGUUGUAAAGCACUUUCAGUGGGGAGGAGGAAUGGUAGGUUAAGAGCUAGCUAUUUGGACGUUACCCACAGAAGAAGCACCGGCUAACUCCGUGCCAGCAGCCGCGGUAAUACGGAGGGUGCGAGCGUUAAUCGGAAUUACUGGGCGUAAAGGGUGCGUAGGUGGUUUGAUAAGUUGUCUGUGAAAUUCCUGGGCUUAACCUGGGCAUGUCAGAUGAUACUGUUAGACUAGAGUAUAGGAGAGGGUAGUGGAAUUUCCGGUGU